GAAAUAUCCUCACCAGCAUGUACCUCUGUGUGUGAUACUACUUUAAGGUCUAUAUAACUCCUUUCAGUUUAUCAUCGUCUGUACUAUCAGCAGCAGUUACACUGUUACUUUGACACCUGGACAAAUAUGGACGCAUUGAAACUGUUCUUUAUUCUGCUUCUACCACUAACUGCAUGUUCACAAGAUUUGGGAGGAGAAACUGUUGUGAAAACAAUUGGGAAGCAACCAGAUGUCACUCAAAUAUGCACCAAUGAAACACAGAACAUCAUCACACUGAUAGUUUGUACGAUCAGAACUCAGAGAAGUGGAGGAGGAAAUUGUGUUCUGCUGUAUGAACAUGCACGGGGCUUUGAGCACAAAUGUGACUCCAGGUUCACACUGAUGAAAGAAAAUCAGACUGUGUUUCUCCACCUGAUCAAUUUAACAUCAGAGGACAGUGGGAGCUACAGCUGUCAGUGUACAAGUCCUGGAAGAACAAAUAUUCUCCAUCUUAAUGUCACUGUGGAAGGUAAACAAGAACUAAGCAGCAGGUCUGGAACAGAAACAGUUCCUCUUACACUGAUUUGUGUAACUGUGUUCAUCAUUGUGAACUUAGUUAUCUUUGGAUUUAUUCACGCACGACUGCGCCACAGGAUGGAAAUACACAAGAUGACCCUUACACAAACCUUCAGCAUGCAACAAACAAUCUCUACCAAACUGUCACCUCAGAUCACCAAAAACACAAUGCAACUACAAAUUAAGCACACUAAUUGUCUGUUGUUGUGAUUAGAUUUGGCCUUUAUAAUCAAACUCUUUAACAUAUGUAAAUGUUAACAGUUAUAUAUAAUAUAUUUAUAUAUAAUAUGUAAAAUAUAUAAUAAUAACUGUAGGUGGCACAUGAGUAUUAGUUUUCUAAGAGAAAUUGUUUUGGAUGAUCAUUACCUGCCUUUACUUUCACUGUUUUGUAGUAACUGAGGCCAUUCAGUCAUGACACUCCAGCUCUUUGAAACAGGUUCACAGAUUUAUACGUGUAUACUCUGGAAAAAUGGCUGACAGUAUAAAAAUGCAAUAAACUGUGUCAAAUAUGACUCCUCGUGUAGCAUUUUUAAAGCACAUUUCUUUUACUGUCUUUUACUGAUGUUACUGAUUGUGACGUGUCACAGUCAGACUUUUCAAAUUACAGAUACACAGAGAUAUCAGUCUGGC
Long non-coding RNA from Oreochromis aureus, 1185 nucleotides. The record is from Ensembl. Lineage: Eukaryota; Metazoa; Chordata; Actinopteri; Cichliformes; Cichlidae.